GACGAACGCUGGCGGCGUGCCUAAUACAUGCAAGUAGAACGCUGAAGGAGGAGCUUACUUCUCUGGAUGAGUUGCGAACGGGUGAGUAACGCGUAGGUAACCUGCCUGGUAGCGGGGGAUAACUAUUGGAAACGAUAGCUAAUACCGCAUAAGAGUAGAUGUUGCAUGACAUUUACUUAAAAGGUGCAAUUGCACCACUACCAGAGGGACCUGCGUUGUAUUAGCUAGUUGGUGGGGUAACGGCUUACCAAGGCGACGAUACAUAGCCGACCUGAGAGGGUGCUCGGACACACUGGAACUGAGACACGGCCCAGACUCCUACGGGAGGCAGCAGUAGGGAAUCUUCGGCAAUGGACGGAAGUCUGACCGAGCAACGCCGCGUGAGUGAAGAAGGUUUUCGGAUCGUAAAGCUCUGUUGUAAGAGAAGAACGAGUGUGAGAGUGGAAAGUUCACACUGUGGCGGUAUCUUACCAGAAAGGGACGGCUAACUACGUGCCAGCAGCCGCGGUAA
Molecule: ribosomal RNA, 511 nt
Filed under: uncultured bacterium
Lineage: Bacteria
Description: partial 16S ribosomal RNA
Rfam family: Bacterial small subunit ribosomal RNA
Source: RNAcentral